GGGACGAACGCUGGCGGCGUGCUUAACACAUGCAAGUCGAGCGGUAAGGCCUCCUUCGGGGGGUACACGAGCGGCGAACGGGUGAGUAACACGUGGGUGACCUGCCCUCAGCUCUGGGAUAGGCCUGGGAAACCGGGUCUAAUACCGGAUGGGACUGCUUGCCGCAUGGUGGGUGGUGGAAAGUUUUUUCGGCUGGGGAUGGGCCCGCGGCCUAUCAGCUUGUUGGUGGGGUGAUGGCCUACCAAGGCGGUGACGGGUA
RNAcentral lists this ribosomal RNA (259 nucleotides) under uncultured bacterium. Its description in RNAcentral is "partial small subunit ribosomal RNA". It matches the Rfam family "Bacterial small subunit ribosomal RNA", at positions 27 to 285 of the family's 1533-position model. The record is from RNAcentral.